GACGAACGCUGGCGGCGUGCUUAACACAUGCCAGUCGAACGGAAAGGCCCUGCUUUUGUGGGGUGCUCGAGUGGCGAACGGGUGAGUAACACGUGAGUAACCUGCCCUUGACUUUGGGAUAACUUCAGGAAACUGGGGCUAAUACCGGAUAGGAGCUCCUGCUGCAUGGUGGGGGUUGGAAAGUUUCGGCGGUUGGGGAUGGACUCGCGGCUUAUCAGCUUGUUGGUGGGGUAGUGGCUUACCAAGGCUUUGACGGGUAGCCGGCCUGAGAGGGUGACCGGCCACAUUGGGACUGAGAUACGGCCCAGACUCCUACGGGGGGAAGCAGGGGGGAAUAUUGAACAAGGGGCGGAAGCCGGAUGCAGCAACGCCGGGUGCGGGAUGACGGCCUUCGGGUUGUAAACCGCUUUCGCCGGUGACGAAGCGUGAGUGACGGUAAUGGGUAAAGAAGCACCGGCUAACUACGU
This 467-nucleotide ribosomal RNA is filed under the name uncultured bacterium. RNAcentral describes it as "partial 16S ribosomal RNA". It matches the Rfam family "Bacterial small subunit ribosomal RNA", at positions 28 to 506 of the family's 1533-position model. The record is from RNAcentral.